RNAcentral lists this transfer RNA (72 nucleotides) under Camelus bactrianus (Bactrian camel). It matches the Rfam family "tRNA". Rfam says of the family: Transfer RNA (tRNA) molecules are approximately 80 nucleotides in length. Their secondary structure includes four short double-helical elements and three loops (D, anti-codon, and T loops). The record is from Rfam by way of RNAcentral. RNAcentral also lists the same sequence under 2 other names. Lineage: Eukaryota; Metazoa; Chordata; Mammalia; Artiodactyla; Camelidae.
GAGGAUAUAGCUCAGUGGUAGAGCGCAUGCUUAGCAUGCACAAGGUCCUGGGUUCAAAACCCAGCACCUCCA